This 565-nucleotide ribosomal RNA is filed under the name Daphnia queenslandensis. RNAcentral's name for it is "partial 12S ribosomal RNA". Lineage: Eukaryota; Metazoa; Arthropoda; Branchiopoda; Diplostraca; Daphniidae. The record is from RNAcentral.
GGUUAAACGAAGAGUUCAAAUAGAAUAAUGAGCAAAAAUUAAUUAAUGUAAGAUACGAAGAGUGUAAUAAUAGUUUUUUCUGUGGGUGGAAUCUUUACAAAGAAAAAUAUUUUCUUGACUUAUCUAAAAGAAUUAAAAAAUAAGUAUUAAAAACCAGGAUUAGAUACCCUGUUAUUUCUUAAAAUGUAUUAGUAGGGUAGUAAAAGUUGUCCUUCAAACCCAAAGGUUUUGGCGGCAUUCUAACCAAAUAGAGGAGCUUGUCUUAUAAUCGAUAACCCCCGUUAUAACUUACCUUUUCUAACUAAGCUUGUAUACCUCCGUUGUCAGAUUACUCUAAAAAGAUGUUUUCUAGAAAAAUUAUUUUCUUACUUCAGGUCAAGGUGCAGCUUAUGUAAAGGCAAUGAUGAGCUACAAUUUUUUUAAAAACACGGAUACUUAAUGUAAUAUUUUAGUUGAAGGUGGAUUUGUUAGUAAGUUGAUUUUAGGAAGAUCUACUGAACAUGGCAAUAGCAUGUGCACAUAUCGCCCGUCACUCUCCUUUUAAGAGGAGAUAAGUCGUAACAAA